UGUACUGAGGAUCCGCUUCGUCAGCAUU
Molecule: non-coding RNA, 28 nt
Filed under: Mus musculus (house mouse)
Lineage: Eukaryota; Metazoa; Chordata; Mammalia; Rodentia; Muridae
Source: RNAcentral